This 537-nucleotide ribosomal RNA is filed under the name Sphaerellopsis filum. RNAcentral's name for it is "eukaryotic LSU rRNA". The stretch from base 189 to 342 matches the Rfam family "5.8S ribosomal RNA". Lineage: Eukaryota; Fungi; Ascomycota; Dothideomycetes; Pleosporales; Leptosphaeriaceae. The record is from RNAcentral.
AAGGAUCAUUACCUUUCAUCAGGGGCCUGGCGUAAAUAAUGGGGGCUUGCUCCCUUAUUGGCCUUGCCUUUCUGAUUCUACCCAUGAUUUUUGCGCACUCUUUGUUUCCUCGGCAGGCUUGCUUGCCGAUAGGACCAACUAUAACCCCUUGUAAUUGCAAUCAGCGUCAGUAACAAGUAAAUUAUUACAACUUUCAACAACGGAUCUCUUGGUUCUGGCAUCGAUGAAGAACGCAGCGAAAUGCGAUAAGUAGUGUGAAUUGCAGAAUUCAGUGAAUCAUCGAAUCUUUGAACGCACAUUGCGCCCCUUGGUAUUCCAUGGGGCAUGCCUGUUCGAGCGUCAUUUGUACUCUCAAGCGUAGCUUGGUGUUGGGUGUUUGUCUGUGCCUUUGCGCGCAGACUCGCCUCAAAACAAUUGGCAGCCGGCACAUUGGCCUGGAGCGCAGCACAUUUUGCGCGCCUUGUCUUAGUUGUUGGCAUCCAUCAAGAUCUUUUAGCUCUUGACCUCGGAUCAGGUAGGGAUACCCGCUGAACUUAA